RNAcentral lists this ribosomal RNA (485 nucleotides) under uncultured bacterium. RNAcentral's name for it is "bacterial SSU rRNA". It matches the Rfam family "Bacterial small subunit ribosomal RNA", at positions 29 to 533 of the family's 1533-position model. The record is from RNAcentral.
AACGAACGCUGGCGGCAGGCUUAACACAUGCAAGUCGAGCGCCCCGCAAGGGGAGCGGCAGACGGGUGAGUAACGCGUGGGAACAUACCCUUUGGUUCGGAAUAACUCAGGGAAACUUGAGCUAAUACCCGGAUACGUCCGUAAGGAGAAAGAUUUAUCGCCAAAGGAUUGGCCCGCGUCCGAUUAGCUAGUUGGUGAGGUAACGGCUCACCAAGGCUACGAUCGGUAGCUGGUCUGAGAGGAUGAUCAGCCACAUUGGGACUGAGACACGGCCCAAACUCCUACGGGAGGCAGCAGUGGGGAAUAUUGGACAAUGGGCGAAAGCCUGAUCCAGCCAUGCCGCGUGUGUGAAGAAGGUCUUCGGAUUGUAAAGCACUUUAAGUUGGGAGGAAGGGUAGUAACCUAAUACGUUGCUACUUUGACGUUACCGACAGAAUAAGACACCGGCUAACUUCGUGCCAGCAGCCGCGGUAAUGUGACUACUG